AAUAGAUACCCUGGUAGUCCACGCCGUAAACGAUGAGUGCUAAGUGUUAGAGGGUUUCCGCCCUUUAGUGCUGCAGCAAACGCAUUAAGCACUCCGCCUGGGGAGUACGGCCGCAAGGCUGAAACUCAGAGGAAUUGACGGGGGCCCGCACAAGCGGUGGAGCAUGUGGUUUAAUUCGAAGCAACGCGAAGAACCUUACCAGGUCUUGACAUCCUCUGCCACUCCUAGAGAUAGGACGUUCCCCUUCGGGGGACAGAGUGACAGGUGGUGCAUGGUUGUCGUCAGCUCGUGUCGUGAGAUGUUGGGUUAAGUCCCGCAACGAGCGCAACCCUUGAUCUUAGUUGCCAGCAUUCAGUUGGGCACUCUAAGGUGACUGCCGGUGACAAACCGGAGGAAGGUGGGGAUGACGUCAAAUCAUCAUGCCCCUUAUGACCUGGGCUACACACGUGCUACAAUGGAUGGUACAAAGGGUCGCGAAACCGCGAGGUCGAGCCAAUCCCACAAACCAUUCUCAGUUCGGAUUGG
RNAcentral lists this ribosomal RNA (525 nucleotides) under uncultured bacterium. Its description in RNAcentral is "bacterial SSU rRNA". It matches the Rfam family "Bacterial small subunit ribosomal RNA", at positions 777 to 1301 of the family's 1533-position model. The record is from RNAcentral.